UACGGAAGGCAGCAGUGGGGAAUAUUGCACAAUGGGCGCAAGCCUGAUGCAGCCAUGCCGCGUGUAUGAAGAAGGCCUUCGGGUUGUAAAGUACUUUCAGUCGUGAGGAAGGUGUUAAGGUUAAUAACCUUAGCAAUUGACGUUAGCGACAGAAGAAGCACCGGCUAACUCCGUGCCAGCAGCCGCGGUAAUACGGAGGGUGCGAGCGUUAAUCGGAAUUACUGGGCGUAAAGGGCACGCAGGCGGUUAAUUAAGUUGGAUGUGAAAUCCCCGGGCUUAACCUGGGAAUGGCAUUCAAGACUGGUUAGCUAGAGUCUUGUAGAGGGGGUAGAAUUCCAUGUGUAGCGGUGAAAUGCGUAGAGAUGUGGAGGAAUACCGGUGGCGAAGGCGGCCCCUGGACAAAGACUGACGCUCAUGUGCGAAAGCGUGGGGAGCAAACAGGGAUUAGA
This 449-nucleotide ribosomal RNA is filed under the name uncultured bacterium. RNAcentral describes it as "bacterial SSU rRNA". It matches the Rfam family "Bacterial small subunit ribosomal RNA", at positions 340 to 782 of the family's 1533-position model. The record is from RNAcentral.